Molecule: long non-coding RNA, 1047 nt
Filed under: Mustela putorius furo (domestic ferret)
Lineage: Eukaryota; Metazoa; Chordata; Mammalia; Carnivora; Mustelidae
Description: lncRNA (ENSMPUG00000029617.1)
Source: RNAcentral
UGGAUAACUUGAGGCAAGUGUUUCUUGUGUGUGUGUGUGUGUGUGUGUGUGUGUGUGUUUUGUUUUGGUUUUAAAUCACAGAAAUCUGCAGGUGCAACUGGGCAACACCAGAUACAUAACCACAGGCCAUUAAGUGACCAAGUGACCUGAGCCACCUAUCAUAAAUUAGGUGUCAUCCAAGUUAUAGAUGUCAUCCAAAGUCGUCCAUGUUAUGCUCAGCCAUAAGGUUGGUUGUGCCGUGUAGCAUUCCAUCAUCCCACGUAAGCAGUAUAUGUGAGACCGGGCUGGAGUGGAUAAGGCGUCAGUAGAUACCUCCUCAUGGCAUUUACUGGUUAACCAUAUCCGCUUUGUCCUGAAGCAGCUAACCUGGUAAGCCCUGAGUUGCCUUUUAGAGUAUCUGUUUACAGUGCUGGUUGGGCAAAAACACCUUGUAGGCCUGGAAUCAUUUGCUCUAAAUUCGGAGCCAAUAUAUGGUGCUGUUUUCACCAUAACCUUCUUGGGACUGGGAGUCAAGGAAAGAAUAUCAGGGUGGCUCUUCUUCUUCUUCUCCCUGGUGACCCAAAAGUGAAUCUUACUUUCCAUGUCUGAGACUUUUGUUUUGCUUGUCUAGAGGUCUUAGUUCCCAAGGGAUGAUUGCUUCCACCAGGAGACACAGCAGGGGUUCUAUUAAAUGGGAAGUGGAGACCGCCAACUGGCCACUUCACGCUCUUCAUCACAGCAACUCAACAGGCAAAGAAGAGUUUCUGUACUGGCUGGGCUGAGUGUUCCUGACCAUCAAGGGUUGCUUCUCUGCAGCAGAGGUCCGCUCAGACAACAGUUGGAACUGCAGGACAGAUCAACAGCAGCUGCUUCGGGAGCGGUGCACAGUUGAGGAGACUGAGGCACAUAGAGGUUAUGUAACCUGCCCAGUUCGCACAGUUUAGUGGAAGACAUACCCGCAUAGCUGACUGAUCCAGGAGUGGAGAUACCUUUCUCCAUCAGGCCAGUCCAGCAGCUCAUUUCUCUGCUAGGCUGGGAAAGUGGGGGAGACAGAGGUGAGCCGCCCGG